GUCCUUGCCGUAAACGAUGUAUACUUGACGUAGCUGGGCUCAACCCUGGCUGUGUCGGAGCUAACGCAUUAAGUAUACCGCCUGGGGAGUACGCUCGCAAGGGUGAAACCCAAAAGAAUUGACGGGGGCCCGCACAAGCAGUGGAGCAUGUGGUUUAAUUCGAUGCAACGCGAAGAACCUUACCCAGGCUCGAAAUGCAGGAGACGAUGGCAGAGAUGUCAUUUUCCGCAAGGACUGCUGUAUAGGUGCUGCAUGGCUGUCGU
RNAcentral lists this ribosomal RNA (263 nucleotides) under uncultured bacterium. RNAcentral describes it as "partial 16S ribosomal RNA". It matches the Rfam family "Bacterial small subunit ribosomal RNA", at positions 793 to 1055 of the family's 1533-position model. The record is from RNAcentral.